AAUAAAUAAAUAAAUAAAAUAUAACAAAAAAAAUUUGGACUUGGGCCUCUCUCAUUUGAGCCCACAGGUCCACAAAAACCAGGUUAUAAAUUCAGAGUUUCAGUGAAACAAAAAGACAUUCUAUUCCUAUUACCCUAGCAGGAAAAAGAAAGUGAGAGAAGAGCUAACAGAGUUCAGAGCAACCUCCAGAGGCUGAAGGGAACUCAUCGG
This 210-nucleotide long non-coding RNA is filed under the name Lathyrus oleraceus (garden pea). RNAcentral describes it as "Pisum sativum (pea) long non-coding RNA (PSAT_LNC002659)". Lineage: Eukaryota; Viridiplantae; Streptophyta; Magnoliopsida; Fabales; Fabaceae. The record is from RNAcentral.